UCUGGCAGCUAGCUCUCUGCAACUCUCACAUGGUUGCCCACUAAAGCAGAGCAAGGCUGCGCCCGGUCAGUACCUGGAUGGUAGACCACACGGGAAAGCUAGGUUGCUGCUGGAA
This is a ribosomal RNA of Danio rerio (zebrafish), 115 nucleotides long. NCBI's taxonomy places the organism in Eukaryota, Metazoa, Chordata, Actinopteri, Cypriniformes, Danionidae. The record is from Ensembl.